This 256-nucleotide ribosomal RNA is filed under the name uncultured bacterium. RNAcentral describes it as "partial 16S ribosomal RNA". It matches the Rfam family "Bacterial small subunit ribosomal RNA", at positions 521 to 776 of the family's 1533-position model. The record is from RNAcentral.
UAAUACGAAGGGGGCUAGCGUUGUUCGGAAUUACUGGGCGUAAAGGGCGCGUAGGCGGCUGCCCAAGUCAGAUGUGAAAGCCCCGGGCUCAACCUGGGAAUAGCAUUUGAGACUGGGCGGCUUGAGUUUCGGAGAGGUGGGUGGAAUUCCCAGUGUAGAGGUGAAAUUCGUAGAUAUUGGGAAGAACACCGGUGGCGAAGGCGGCCCACUGGACGAAUACUGACGCUGAGGCGCGAAAGCGUGGGGAGCAAACAGG